RNAcentral lists this ribosomal RNA (485 nucleotides) under uncultured bacterium. RNAcentral's name for it is "partial 16S ribosomal RNA". It matches the Rfam family "Bacterial small subunit ribosomal RNA", at positions 28 to 523 of the family's 1533-position model. The record is from RNAcentral.
GACGAACGCUGGCGGCGUGCUUAACACAUGCAAGUCGAACGAUGAAAGCUGGAGCUUGCUCCGGCUGGAUUAGUGGCGAACGGGUGAGUAACACGUGAGCAAUCUGCCCUUGACUCUGGGAUAACUCCGAGAAAUCGGUGCUAAUACCGGAUAUGACCCUUGGCGGCAUCGCUGGGGGUGGAAAGUUUUUCGGUCAAGGAUGAGCUCGCGGCCUAUCAGCUUGUUGGUGAGGUAAUGGCUCACCAAGGCGACGACGGGUAGCCGGCCUGAGAGGGUGACCGGCCACACGGGGACGGAGACACUGCCCAGACUCCUACGGGAGGCAGCAGUGGGGAAUACUGCACAAUGGGCGCAAGCCUGAUGCAGCAACGCCGCGUGGGGGAUGACGGCCUUCGGGUUGUAAACCUCUUUUAGCAGGGAAGAAGCGAAAGUGACGGUACCUGCAGAAAAAGCACCGGCUAACUACGUGCCAGCCGCCGCAGUAA